This 253-nucleotide ribosomal RNA is filed under the name uncultured bacterium. RNAcentral's name for it is "partial 16S ribosomal RNA". It matches the Rfam family "Bacterial small subunit ribosomal RNA", at positions 524 to 776 of the family's 1533-position model. The record is from RNAcentral.
UACAUGUGGGGCAAGCGUUGUUCGGAAUUACUGGGCAUAAAGGGUGCGUAGGUGGUUUGUUAAGUCAGGGGUGAAAUCCCGCGGCCCAACCGUGGAACUGCCUUCGAUACUGGCGAACUUGAGUGCGUGAGGGGUAGGGGGAACGAGCAGUGUAGCGGUGAAAUGCGUAGAUAUUGCUCGGAAGGCCAGAGCCGAAGGGGCCCUACUGGUGCGCAACUGACACUGAGGCACGAAAGCGUGGGGAGCAAAACGG